UUCUGAACUGAUUGCAGAAGGACUAGACACUGCAGAAAGGCCAGGAUAUGAAUGGGGAAGACGAGAUUCGGAGCCGCUGGCGAUUGUGGUUUCAGGGUCAAGAAGCCUGCAUCUGACUUCAGGUGAUCCAAGCUUUCCUCUGAGGUCAUCUAAUUGCCACAGAUGGAAGGGGCUUGGAAGAAUCAGUCUGGCCAAGAGAGGACACACAGUUCCAAAGCUUGCCUGGGUUCCAGGAAGCAGCUGCUAUGAGCAAGCUGCUGCAGACCAGGCCCUUUGCAUACAGCAAUGACUUGCUCACAUCCAGGCACUGAGUUCUUGCUGCCUGUGGGAAGCCGGGCUCUUGUCUGUGGAGCUGGUGCAUCACAGAGUGCGUGUGCUGGCUGAGGUGAGGCACAGGAGCAUAAAUGGAGCAUGUGCGUGGCCACCAUCGCUAUGGAAAUCAUGACUCUGAAGGCUGAUGCCGCAUCUAAAUGAGCUGAAAUGAAAUGCAAAGAGCACAUCCAUCACAUAGGUUCACACUGCUUCGGGCUUGCAUCUCAUUACUGUACCACUCUGCCUAUGUAUUAUGAAUUAAUAUAUUUAAUAAAUCCUGUAAUUAUCUGUGAACAGCA
Non-coding RNA from Peromyscus maniculatus bairdii (prairie deer mouse), 611 nucleotides. The record is from RefSeq and is a predicted model, not a curated record. Lineage: Eukaryota; Metazoa; Chordata; Mammalia; Rodentia; Cricetidae.